Molecule: ribosomal RNA, 585 nt
Filed under: uncultured bacterium
Lineage: Bacteria
Description: partial 16S ribosomal RNA
Rfam family: Bacterial small subunit ribosomal RNA
Source: RNAcentral
UGGGGAAUUUUGGACAAUGGGCGAAAGCCUGAUCCAGCAAUGCCGCGUGUGUGAAGAAGGCCUUCGGGUUGUAAAGCACUUUUGUCCGGAAAGAAAUCCUUGGCUCUAAUACAGUCGGGGGAUGACGGUACCGGAAGAAUAAGCACCGGCUAACUACGUGCCAGCAGCCGCGGUAAUACGUAGGGUGCAAGCGUUAAUCGGAAUUACUGGGCGUAAAGCGUGCGCAGGCGGUUUGCUAAGACCGAUGUGAAAUCCCCGGGCUCAACCUGGGAACUGCAUUGGUGACUGGCAGGCUAGAGUAUGGCAGAGGGGGGUUAGAAUUCCACGUGUAGCAGUGAAAUGCGUAGAGAUGUGGAGGAAUACCGAUGGCGAAGGCAGCCCCCUGGGCCAAUACUGACGCUCAUGCACGAAAGCGUGGGGAGCAAACAGGAUUAGAUACCCUGGUAGUCCACGCCCUAAACGAUGUCAACUAGUUGUUGGGGAUUCAUUUCCUAGUAACGUAGCUAACGCGUGAAGUUGACCGCCUGGGGAGUACGGUCGCAAGAUUAAAACUCAAAUGAAUUGACGGGGUCAUAGCUGUUUCCU